GGUGCGGUGGCCGAGCGGUUGAAGGCACACGACUUGAAAUCGUGCAGACCCGAAAGGGUCUCGUGGGUUCGAAUCCCACCCGCACCG
Molecule: transfer RNA, 87 nt
Filed under: Planctomycetota bacterium
Lineage: Bacteria; Pseudomonadati; Planctomycetota
Also listed under: 2 other names
Description: Planctomycetes bacterium tRNA-Ser
Rfam family: tRNA
About the family: Transfer RNA (tRNA) molecules are approximately 80 nucleotides in length. Their secondary structure includes four short double-helical elements and three loops (D, anti-codon, and T loops). Further hydrogen bonds mediate the characteristic L-shaped molecular structure. tRNAs have two regions of fundamental functional importance: the anti-codon, which is responsible for specific mRNA codon recognition, and the 3' end, to which the tRNAs corresponding amino acid is attached (by aminoacyl-tRNA synthetases). tRNAs cope with the degeneracy of the genetic code in two manners: having more than one tRNA (with a specific anti-codon) for a particular amino acid; and 'wobble' base-pairing, i.e. permitting non-standard base-pairing at the 3rd anti-codon position.
Source: RNAcentral